RNAcentral lists this ribosomal RNA (478 nucleotides) under uncultured Planctomycetales bacterium. RNAcentral describes it as "bacterial SSU rRNA". It matches the Rfam family "Bacterial small subunit ribosomal RNA", at positions 364 to 832 of the family's 1533-position model. Lineage: Bacteria; Pseudomonadati; Planctomycetota; Planctomycetia; Planctomycetales. The record is from RNAcentral.
UUUCGCAAUGCCCGAAAGGGUGACGAAGCGACGCCGCGUGUGGGAAGAAGGCCUUCGGGUUGUAAACCACUGUCGGGAGUUAAGAAAUGCAAGGAUAUGAAUAGUGUCUUUGCUUGACUAAGGCUCCGGAGGAAGCCACGGCUAACUCUGUGCCAGCAGCCGCGGUAAUACAGAGGCGGCAAGCGUUGUUCGGAAUUAUUGGGCGUAAAGAGCACGUAGGCGGCUAUGUAAGUCGGUUGUGAAAGCCUUCCGCUCAACGGGAGAACAGCAUCCGAUACUACAUGGCUUGAGUGCGGGAGGGGAGAGUGGAACUUCUGGUGGAGCGGUGAAAUGCGUAGAUAUCAGAAGGAACGCCGGCGGCGAAAGCGGCUCUCUGGCCCGUAACUGACGCUGAGUGUGCGAAAGCUAGGGGAGCAAACGGGAUUAGAUACCCCGGUAGUCCUAGCCGUAAACGAUGGGCACUAAGUAGAGGGGUUUU